AACGAACGCUGGCGGCGUGCUUAACACAUGCAAGUCGAGGGGUAACAGGGAUUGCUUGCAAUCCGCUGACGACCGGCGCACGGGUGCGUAACGCGUAUGCAACCUACCUUCUACAGGGGGAUAGUCAAUAGAAAUGUUGAAUAAUACCCCAUACGAUCAUUAAUCUGCAUGGAUUGAUGAAGAAAGUUCCGGCGGUAGAAGAUGGGCAUGCGUCCUAUUAGUUAGUUGGUAAGGUAACGGCUUACCAAGACAUCGAUAGGUAGGGGUCCUGAGAGGGAGAUCCCCCACACUGGUACUGAGACACGGACCAGACUCCUACGGGAGGCAGCAGUGAGGAAUAUUGGACAAUGGAGGCAACUCUGAUCCAGCCAUGCCGCGUGCAGGAAGACUGCCCUAUGGGUUGUAAACUGCUUUUAUACAGGAAGAAUAGUACCUACGUGUAGGUAUUUGACGGUACUGUACGAAUAAGGAUCGGCUAACUCCGUG
Molecule: ribosomal RNA, 486 nt
Filed under: uncultured bacterium
Lineage: Bacteria
Description: bacterial SSU rRNA
Rfam family: Bacterial small subunit ribosomal RNA
Source: RNAcentral